Molecule: long non-coding RNA, 3012 nt
Filed under: Homo sapiens (human)
Lineage: Eukaryota; Metazoa; Chordata; Mammalia; Primates; Hominidae
Description: HSALNT0381066
Source: RNAcentral
GCAACAGAUCCAGAGGCCAGCCCAAGUGGCCACCUAGUUCUCUUGGACUCUAGGCUCUACUGGUGGGGUGCUGCUGAUCCAAUGGGCAUGGAUUUAAUUGCAAUACAGAAAUAGUCCUGGGAGAUAUCCCAUAACUGUAGCUCCAUGCUGGAAUGUUUGUCUGUAGCCCCAUGGUGGGGUGUCUGUCUCCAGCUCCACCACUGGAUGUCUGAGACUCUAGCCCUAUCACUGGGUGUCUGUCUGUAGCCCAUCACGUAGUGUCUGUAGCUGUAGCCCCAUUAUGGGGUAUCUGAUUUGGGCUUGGCCCCCACAGCUAUGGCACAGUAAGCAGAUUCAUCAAAAGCUGCUCCAUUCUUCUGGAAGCUUCAGAGAAAGGGAACACAGAAAUCUGGUAUGCUGGUAAAAAGGGAUCGAGGCCAUCAAGCUACAGAUGGUCUUACAAAUGGAACCCCAAAUGAGCUCAAUUCACAACUUCUACGAAGGACCCCUGGAUCAACCUACUGGCCCUUUGACUGGCCUAAAAAGUUCCCCUCUGGAGGACACUACAACUGCAGGGCCCCUUCUUUGCCCCUAUCCAGCAGGAAGUAGCUAGAUCAGUCAUCGCCCAAUUCCCAACAGCAGUUGGUAUGUCCUGUUUAGAGGGAGGAUUGAGAAGUGAAGCCAGCUGAACUUCCUGGGUUGAGUGGAGACUUGGAGAACUCUUCUGUCUUGCAAGAGGAUUGUAAAAAGCCUUGUCCCGCCCCUGCAUGCGCUGCCUCUCCCAGGCCCCGCCUUCCACCCAGUGUCUUGGACCCUCAGCUGGGCAGCACCACCAGAGCAACCAUACAUCCUGCAUGUUCCAGGCCUCACUCGAGAGGCAAAAAAGCUCCAUGGCGGCGGCGGCCAAGCCCAAGAACCUCUCCCUGGUGGUGCAUGGACCAGGUGACUUGCGCCUGAUAAGCCUGGAAGGAGGGUGGGAAGCCUACCAACCCUGACUCACUCUCCUCUGAGCCCAGCCACAGUCCUGGCUUCCCACUUACAGCCCAGCACCGGCCCCGCAACUUAAGCGCCCUGGCUGCCCAGAUCCCAGUUCCCCUCAGGAUGUGGGGGUGGCGGGUAGUGGCUGUUGCGAAGAGCAGGGAUCUAGUUGUGUACCUCCGAGAACCUAGCCCCAUGGCUGGCACGUGGCCGGUGCCCAGGAUGGUUGCAAACUGUUUGAAUGAAGCUUUCUCUCUCCUUUGCCAGCUGCAGAUUCAUAGUCCAGCCUCUCGUCAUUGACCUUUUCAAAGAAAAUGCUAAGGCUGUCUGAAUUAUCCGGGCAGACAGUGCAAAGCAGAAAGGGGGGCCAGAGGACACUUAAAAACAGCAGAACUUAUAUUUAACUCCCCUUGCUUGGAACUGAUAAACCUCCCUUGCAGGAUUAUUAUGAUCACAAGAGUACUCAGCACUUAGUACGUGCUCAGGAAGUGCCAGCUCCUUCUCCUUUCCUUCCAGUAUAGACCACCAUCUCCAGAACUCCUGGUGUUCCCCUUGCCUGUGCCAGACUUCUGAACCUUGGUAGUCCCCUUGUCUGUAAGGCUCCUUCUCUCCCUAAGUCCCUAUCUGGUUUACUUUCCAGCAGUUUUUCUUUCUAAUCCCGUGCCUCUGUCCCUUUAGGAGCAUUCUGUAUGUGUGUCCUCUGCUUUAGACCCUGCCUUUUGCUUCCUGUUUUGUGGCACCAAAGUUUAGGAAGUGGCGGAGUCAGCACCCUGGUCAUGCCAAGGCUCCCUUGACAAAGUGCUUCUCAGAUGGGCCUGGGAUGGCAGUGGGUAUGUGGGAUGAGUGCCAGCCAUCUCUGCUGCUCCCCUGUACCUCCUCUCCCUCAAAGUACAUGCAUCAGUAUGUAAAUUGCAGUAAUUCAGAAGCUUAUCCAGAUUGGCAGUUCUUGACUAUUUAAGAAUCAGUAGUGUCCCUUCGACAGAAUGCAAAGAGACUGAGUUUGGCAACAAUUUCAGAUUGUUCAAGGACUCCCUUUAAGCCACUCUAAGCCCCUCUAUAGAACCCUUGUCCCAGCUGACUCUCCAUCUCCUCAGUUGAAGAAAGUGCCAUACCCAAGGUGAUAGGUUUUGUUAGUUAACAGAGCCACGACAAGGACUCAGAUGUUCAGACUCCCCAUUCUAGUGCUCAUUCCACUCUUUGGAGCCUCCACCCAAGGUCCUGAAUUAAAGUGAGGCUGUUAGUGUUUACUGUUGCAAAUGCCAGAUGGUAUUAUGAGUAAGGGAAAGUGGUCCAGCUCUACCCAGCUUGCAGAGUGAUUUCCAACUCAGUACUUCAUUCCACAAACAUUCACUCAUGAAAGGGUGCCUGCCAUGUGCCAGGCACUGGGCUGAGGGCCCAGAGAGGAGGACACAGCCCCUGCUCCCAAGUUUACUGAGGGAGGCAGACAGAUAAAGUCAACAAUUAUGACAGAGCCCGAGGGCUUUGAUGGAGGCCUCAGAGAGAAAAGACCCCACAGAGAAAAGACCCCAAGAGAAAAGAACCUUGGCCCUCUAUCUGCUCAGAGCCUGCUUAAAAGUCAUGCGCCUAAGAUGCAGAAACACAGUUACGUUCUCCUUCAUCUUACCUCAAACUCAUGGUCUUCCACUGCUCAGGCAGACUACCUCUACUAUGGUUCCGUAGACAAAGCUUUGAAGAUUAGAGCAGCAGCGAACUAACCUUGAUCUCAUCAGCUUUGCAUUAGAACCCACUCUCUGACUGGAUUAGGGGCUAGGUUGGGGUGGCUGUAACCUAAAAGAUCUAGAAAAUAUGAUGGGCUAUUUCACCUGUGGUUGUGUGCUGGUACACUAACUGGGUAAAAGAGUUCAGAGGAGGAUUUAGGAAAUGACACCUAGGCUCAGUUUGAGAAUGGGAAGUGGUAGGGUCAUUUACUGGUCAGAGUAGAUUAAAAUGAGAUCAGGUUUGAAAAGUUGAGUUUAAGAUGUCUCUGGAGGCCAGCUGUGGUAGUUCAUGCCUGUAAUCCCAGCACUUUUAGAGGCCAAGGUACGCAGAUCACUU